This 406-nucleotide ribosomal RNA is filed under the name uncultured bacterium. RNAcentral describes it as "partial 16S ribosomal RNA". It matches the Rfam family "Bacterial small subunit ribosomal RNA", at positions 29 to 526 of the family's 1533-position model. The record is from RNAcentral.
AUUGAACGCUGGCGGCAGGCCUAACCCAUGCAAGUCGAGCGAGCGGCGGACGGGUGAGUAAUGUCUGGGAAACUGCCUGAUGGAGGGGGAUAACUACUGGAAACGGUAGCUAAUACCGCAUACCAUCAGAUGUGCCCAGAGGGGAUUAGCUAGUAGGUGGGGUAACGGCUCACCUAGGCGACGAUCCCUCGCUGGUCUGAGAGGAUGACCAGCCACACGGGAACGGAGACACGGUCCAGAUGCCUACGGGAGGCAGCAGUAGGAAAUAUGGCACAAUGGGCGAAAGCCGGAUGCAGCCAGGCCGAGUGUGUGAAGAAGGCCUUCGGGUUGUAAAGCACUUUCAGCGGGGAGGCGUUACCCGCAGAAGAAGCACCGGCUAACUCCGUGCCAGCAGCCGCGGUAAUUC